CAGGUCUUGACAUCCUCUGACAAUCCUAGAGAUAGGACGUUCCCCUUCGGGGGACAGAGUGACAGGUGGUGCAUGGUUGUCGUCAGCUCGUGUCGUGAGAUGUUGGGUUAAGUCCCGCAACGAGCGCAACCCUUGUCCUUAGUUGCCAGCAUUUAGUUGGGCACUCUAAGGAGACUGCCGGUGACAAACCGGAGGAAGGUGGGGAUGACGUCAAAUCAUCAUGCCCCUUAUGACCUGGGCUACACACGUGCUACAAUGGAUGGUACAAAGGGCUGCGAGACCGCGAGGUUUAGCCAAUCCCAUAAAACCAUUCUCAGUUCGGAUUGUAGGCUGCAACUCGCCUACAUGAAGCCGGAAUCGUUAAUAAUCGUGGAUCAGCAUGCCACGGUGAAUACGUUCCC
RNAcentral lists this ribosomal RNA (401 nucleotides) under uncultured soil bacterium. RNAcentral describes it as "bacterial SSU rRNA". It matches the Rfam family "Bacterial small subunit ribosomal RNA", at positions 975 to 1375 of the family's 1533-position model. The record is from RNAcentral.